Molecule: non-coding RNA, 144 nt
Organism: Camelina sativa (false flax)
Lineage: Eukaryota; Viridiplantae; Streptophyta; Magnoliopsida; Brassicales; Brassicaceae
Source: RefSeq, a predicted model, not a curated record
UGGCUAUUCUAGAGGUUGUGUAGGAUUGAAUGGUAAGGUUUUUGUGUUGUGCAGGAUGAUAUAGUAUCUAAUGUCGAGGCAAAACUUGCUGCGUGGACCUUUCUUCCCGAAGAAAAUGGGGAAUCCAUGCAAAUAUUGCACUAU